UCUGAGGUCAAACUCCUCAUCACACCUGAGAGAACUGGAUCUGAAGGGUAAUAAACCAGGAGAAUCAGGAGUGAAGCUGCUCUCUGAUCUACUGAAGGAUCCACACUGUAACCUGGAGACACUACACAUUAACUAUAAUAAACUCACCAGGACUGGCGUAUGACGGGAGUCUCACCUCAAACCUCUUCUCCAGGAUAAAGCAGUCUUGGUGAAGAGUUAGAACCCGUCCCACAUUUCCAGCAGUUUGGGAGCUGAAUCAUUAAACUUAAAGGGGCAGAGCAGAAACAAAGUCAAGAACAGGCAGAAGGUCGUACACAGGAGAAAUCAACACACGUAACCAAAUAUCUGCUGUACAAAGCAACGGCACCGAUCUGCCCCGGGGAUGGAGACUGACGAGGCUUAAGUACACGUCCGGAAAUGUACAGCCAACUCAUCCCAAAGCACGAGGCGGGAGCAGGCGUGUACGAGAUGUGAUCGUCCAAUGGCAAGCCGGAACAUGACGCACUGCAGUGGGCUGGGCUUAAAAGAGGAGGAGACAAGACACCCAUCCCUCCCCGACAUAGACACACGAAUGGAACACAGUACAAACAGAAAUACAACUGAGGACGUAACAAUGGCCAAGUAUCAAAUAAAAUGUAAACUUGCAUUGAUGAAGUUAAUGUUGUUAGUAAAUGUUUAUAAAUUACCAUGGUAACACAGAGCUCCAAGGUAUAAAAAUAUGGAGUUUGUCAUCAAUCAAACAGUAACCAGUUUUAAAACCUAAAAAAGUUUACGUAGCAAAAUUUAGCAAAGCGCUUUACAGUAAAUUAAAAUGUAAAAUUAAACUAAUGAAAUGUUGUGCAGCACAUGCUUAUGUUAAUGUUUGUUACAUUAUAUGAUCAUAUAAAUAAAUAAAUACUCCCAAAGUCA
Ictalurus furcatus (blue catfish) is the source of this 909-nucleotide long non-coding RNA. RefSeq lists it as uncharacterized. Lineage: Eukaryota; Metazoa; Chordata; Actinopteri; Siluriformes; Ictaluridae. The transcript has 2 exons. The record is from RefSeq and is a predicted model, not a curated record.